UUUUAGCCCCGAUAGCAGCGUAAAUCCUCGAAAUUUAGAAAGUGAUUGUUUUCUGGCCGGAAAAGAGCGACCAGCGGAAGCUCCUUUUAUGGGUAAGAAAAAACACUUUCUAAACGAGAGAUCGAAGCGGAUAGCGGGAAAUAGC
This is a non-coding RNA of Flavobacterium fryxellicola, 145 nucleotides long. Lineage: Bacteria; Pseudomonadati; Bacteroidota; Flavobacteriia; Flavobacteriales; Flavobacteriaceae. The record is from Rfam.